CCUACGGGUGGCUGCAGUGGGGAAUAUUGGACAAUGGGGGGAACCCUGAUCCAGCCAUGCCGCGUGUGUGAAGAAGGCCCUCGGGUUGUAAAGCACUUUCAGUGAGGAAGAACGCCUGGUGGUUAAUACCCAUCAGGAAAGACAUCACUCACAGAAGAAGCACCGGCUAACUCCGUGCCAGCAGCCGCGGUAAUACGGAGGGUGCGAGCGUUAAUCGGAAUUACUGGGCGUAAAGCGCGCGUAGGUGGCUUGAUAAGCCGGUUGUGAAAGCCCCGGGCUCAACCUGGGAACGGCAUCCGGAACUGUCAAGCUAGAGUGCAGGAGAGGAAGGUAGAAUUCCCGGUGUAGCGGUGAAAUGCGUAGAGAUCGGGAGGAAUACCAGUGGCGAUGGCGGCCUUCUGGACUGACACUGACACUGAGGUGCGAAAGCGUGGGUAGCAAACAGGAUUAGAUACCCGGGUAGUC
RNAcentral lists this ribosomal RNA (465 nucleotides) under Vreelandella stevensii. RNAcentral describes it as "partial 16S ribosomal RNA". It matches the Rfam family "Bacterial small subunit ribosomal RNA", at positions 338 to 795 of the family's 1533-position model. Lineage: Bacteria; Pseudomonadati; Pseudomonadota; Gammaproteobacteria; Oceanospirillales; Halomonadaceae. The record is from RNAcentral.